CCCUUAGAUGUUCUGGGCUGCACGCGCGCUACACUGAAGCUAUCAACACGUUUUCCCUCCCUGAGAAGGGCGGGUAACCUUUUGAAUCAGCUUCGUGGUAGGGAUCGGGGCUUGCAAUUGUUCCCCGUGAACCAGGAAUUCCUAGUAGACGCGAGUCAUAAGCUCGCAUCGAUUAAGUCCCUGCCCUUUGUACACACCGCCCGUCGCUACUACCGAUUGAACGUUUUAGUGAGGCAUUUGGACCGACGCAUCUCAGUUUAACCGCUGGUUUGUGUUGGAAAGACUUCCAAACUUGAGCGUUUAGAGGAAGUAAAAGUCGUAACAA
Molecule: ribosomal RNA, 325 nt
Filed under: uncultured eukaryote
Lineage: Eukaryota
Description: partial 18S ribosomal RNA
Rfam family: Eukaryotic small subunit ribosomal RNA
Source: RNAcentral